This 2844-nucleotide unclassified non-coding RNA is filed under the name Cimex lectularius (bed bug). Its description in RNAcentral is "ubiquitin thioesterase trabid, transcript variant X1". The record is from RNAcentral. Lineage: Eukaryota; Metazoa; Arthropoda; Insecta; Hemiptera; Cimicidae.
UUCUUAUUUUGAGAAGGAGAAGGAAACCUAAAAGAUUUUUUUUUUAUUACACAUUCGAAAUUUAUUUGUCAAAUUCAGGACAAGAUAUGUUUCUCGACAUUUUCCCCUAAGAAUCGCCUUGAGGGGUGUUUAUAAAAUAAAAUUGUCAAUUUUACAAUCCUUCGGAGUGUAUGGUAAAAAUAGCGAAGAAUGAAUCCAAAGGACAUAACCAUCAGUUAACAUAGUGUAGAGGGAUCAGCUGGAGUGGUGGAGAGCUAGUCAAAAUGAAAUAACUCCACAAGAUACCAAGAGCAAGUUACUUUAUUCGGUUUUAAUUUAUUUAUAUAUUUUCCAGAGUGGCAAAAAGAAAAGUGAAAGAUUUUUUGUCUAAUAUCCUUGAGAUUUAUAUUAAAUCGCUUUCCCUGUUUUUAGUCUUGUGAUAGUCAAUUAGAAUAAUGAAAACUGGAAUUUGGGAUAAAGUGGGCCAAAUAAAAAGUGUCAGUUUUCUCAAGUUCCAUUCUAUAGUCAGAUAAGAAAAUAAAGAACGACAAGGGUGGAGUUUAUGUAUUAUUGCCUAAGGCCUCGACUUAUACUCAGUUAUGAGCCGGGAGGUGAAAUGGACAUGUGAAUAUUGCACCUAUGAGAAUUUUCCAAACGCGUCCAAGUGCACCAUGUGUCAGGGUCCAAAACCUUUGCUCUCAAAAAACAUAUAUCGGCUUAGAGCCGACGAAGAUUCCGGCUUUGUAAAACCCGAAACUUCGUCUUCAGUGCCUCGUAGUGUUAAUGCAGAUUUUUUACAUGAACAGUUAAAACCCCUGAGGAUAAGUGAUUGCAGUGAAAAUACCGCAAGUGCAACUUCUCGUGUUAGUACUGCCGUUAAAUGGUCGUGUAAAAUAUGUACUUACGAAAACUGGCCAAAAUCUAGGAAAUGUAUUAUGUGCGGAACAUCGGCAUCGGCAUCCAACACCUCCCCUACCUCCGGACAACUGCCACUGCAAAACCAGGCGUCUCCGAACAACACUUCAGUGAGACUCACUUCACCAUCUCCUGAAAAAGAUGCUACCAUUAAUGAGGAUAAUACCAUGAAAAGGUCUAAUUCAAGGCGGGAAGACAUUGGAGCUAGUCAAACUAGCAUGACGAAUAAUUAUGAGUUCGAUCGUCGAAGACGAGAGGCGGAUUGGACAUGGCUCAACGCUUGCCUGGGAGUCGUGGAAGGUGAUCCGAAUCCAGUCGCCAAAUUCCUCAGCACUGGGGGCGACCCGACUAGACAGCUAUUGCCCGCCGAAGUCUCCCUUUUGAACAGACCAUCGGCUUUCGAUAUCGGGCACACUUUGGUCCAUCUAGCUAUAAGGUUUCACAGGGAAGAGAUGCUAGCAAUGUUGGUCUCGUCAAUAGACGGAGGCGGUUCCGGAUUGAAAAGAGUCCCUUCUUACAUCGCUCCCGAGCUCGCUUCAGCGAUUCGUAGACACGCAGCUACCAUUUUCAACACGAAACAUUCACGGUCAAUCCCUUUUCCUUUUAUAACUGAAUUCACAACAUUUGUUUUGCCCGCAGAUAUAGAAGAUCUCCCUGCUUCAGUUCAAGAACAACUUUUCGAUGAACUCUUGGACAAAGAUGUACAACAACAGUUAGAAAGCGAACCGGCUGUAAUUAAUUGGUCUGUCGAAAUUACAGUUCAGUUAGGCUCAAGGCUCCACGCUCUUUGGAAUCGGUCUCAAGGUGAUUGCCUUUUGGAUUCUCUGAUGCAGGCGACCUGGGGAGUUUUCGACAGGGAUUCCCUGCUAAGAAGGGCUCUUGCUGACUCCCUCUGCCAUGGAGCACAUCUACUAUAUCCUCGUUGGUUGGAAUCGGAAGCCAAUCAAGCCCGUCAACUGGAUUUCACAUUGAGUGAUUCGCAAUGGGCUGAGGACUGGUCGGCAUUGGUGAAACGAGCGACGCAGCCUGGCGCGUCGCUCCAGCAACUUCACGUUUUCGCAUUGGCUCACGUUCUAAGAAGGCCAGUUCUCGUAUACGGAGUUAAGUUUGUUAAAAGCUUCAGGGGGGAGGCGCUUGAUUAUGCCGGUUUUGAAGGUGUUUACCUUCCAUUGCUUUGGGAACCGAGUUUUUGCAGUACGUCUCCAGUGGCUCUCGGCUAUACCCGUGGUCAUUUUUCCGCCCUCGUACCGAUGGAGUGUUACUCAACCCACACACAUUCUGAUCUCGGCUCGUCAGGAAUUGUCGAGGACAAUCGAGGAGAACAAGUCUGUUACUUACCCCUCGUCGACAGAGACAGAAAAAUCCUCCCAAUUCAUUUUCUCACAAAAUCAGAAACUGGAAGCGAAGAAAGAUUAUUAAGGAGGUGGUUAGAUGUCAAUAUCACAAACGGCGGUCUCCUUGUUGCUCAACAAAGGGUUCACGGUAGACCUUUGCUUGUUGCUCAAAUGCUUCAGGAGUGGCUUAAUCACUAUAAAAGUCUGGCUCAAAUGUCAGGAACGCCCUACAGUCGGACAAUCCCAACACAGGAUUUUUCGAGUGACGGUGACACGGAUGAUGAAUGACCUUAAUAUCUCACAGAAGAAGAGGACAAGGCUCUCUAAAAGAAGUAAUCAAAGUCAAAAUAAGUCACAAAUUGACAUGCUCAUAAUCUGAAGUAUCAAGAUCUUUAUUGUCGCUCCGCUGAGGUGGCCAUGGUCUUCUCCUCCUCCUUGUAUCCGCCUGGGAAUUAGAAGAACUUUUUAUGAAGUGUAUACAAGCCACACAUUUCACAACAAACACAAGAAAAAUUGUGGCAGUUGUAAACAGAAUUAUUUUCCAGUGAGCCUUCAGGAGAGUGUCCGGUUCAUGAAAAUCAUCUGAAAAUAAAUUUACAACCAUAAUUUGAUGUUA